CUGCCCGAUGGAGGGGGAUAACUACUGGAAACGGUAGCUAAUACCGCAUAACGUCGCAAGACCAAAGAGGGGGACCUUCGGGCCUCUUGCCAUCGGAUGUGCCCAGAUGGGAUUAGCUAGUAGGUGGGGUAACGGCUCACCUAGGCGACGAUCCCUAGCUGGUCUGAGAGGAUGACCAGCCACACUGGAACUGAGACACGGUCCAGACUCCUACGGGAGGCAGCAGUGGGGAAUAUUGCACAAUGGGCGCAAGCCUGAUGCAGCCAUGCCGCGUGUAUGAAGAAGGCCUUCGGGUUGUAAAGUACUUUCAGCGAGGAGGAAGGUGUUGUGGUUAAUAACCGCAGCAAUUGACGUUACUCGCAGAAGAAGCACCGGCUAACUCCGUGCCAGCAGCCGCGGUAAUACGGAGGGUGCAAGCGUUAAUCGGAAUUACUGGGCGUAAAGCGCACGCAGGCGGUCUGUCAAGUCGGAUGUGAAAUCCCCGGGCUCAACCUGGGAACUGCAUCCGA
RNAcentral lists this ribosomal RNA (509 nucleotides) under Citrobacter freundii. RNAcentral describes it as "bacterial SSU rRNA". It matches the Rfam family "Bacterial small subunit ribosomal RNA", at positions 126 to 630 of the family's 1533-position model. Lineage: Bacteria; Pseudomonadati; Pseudomonadota; Gammaproteobacteria; Enterobacterales; Enterobacteriaceae. The record is from RNAcentral.